AUCCUCCUCAACUGAACUGACAGUUUCUAGUCCUCCCUCCUGAGCUCUUCUUCUCUGCCCUCCUGCCUCCUCCUCCUCCUCCCCAAGUUGAAGGGCCUUCCUUUCCUUCCAGCUGUUUGACAGGAACAUUCCCUGUAUCGUGUCCUCCUCCUCCUCUUUGGGGUGCCGUUCAUCUUUUUCUCUUUCUGAGAGCGAUAAAGGCAGAAUGACAGCAAGAAGGAUGGAUAAGGAAGGUAUUUGAAAAGUGUUAUCCUGUUCUCCUCUUUCCCCCAGUAGCACGAGAAAUUAAAUCCAAAUGUGUCCAACUCGAAAGCUUAGCUCACAACCACCAGAUUAUAGACCCCGAUACUACAGAACUAGAGUAGGGUGGACUUGGGAUUGAACCCAGGUUUAUUCCAGCCUCAAAAUCCAAGUCUUUCCGUGAAACCAUUUUUCCUUCUCCUUCCACCCACAGAAAGCACCCCCAGACCCUGUCCCGUCCAGACCCAUCCUGGGACCUCCAUUCUGUACCGUAGCAGGUGCAGAGCCCCAGGACCCUCCAGGCAUAGCAGUGGCAGCACCUUCUUGCUCCCUCCCCAGCAGAGUCCAGGCUGCAUUAGGGGCAGAAACACCCGAGACCUGUCUUUGGGAGCACCUGCGCAUUUGCUCGCCUGCUUCAGAUCUUGAGCGCCUUUUAAUAGGUUUGUUUUAUGGUUGGUUUUAUUCCUCCAACAGUGAGUGGAUUUCAUUUGGCCGUGUAAAGGAGGAAAGGUGGUGUGUGAGCUCAGGCUGAUGUGAAGGAUGCUGAAGUUUUCCACUGGCCUCAAAAAGCUGCUUGAGAAACUUACUCUGCUGCGUUGGUGCAAGCUUUGUUUUAUUUUGUUUUCCCCUCAGCCAGGUAUUCAGAAUAUGUUUCACUCACCUGGAGAGUUGCAUCGUCUUGACAAACACAAGGCAAUUAAGAGACUUCCAGCUGCUCCUGCUGCUACUGUGUAUUCAGGGGGAGGGAGAAAUGAUGGCUGGCCUCUCCAAAGUGCCUUUGCUGCAUUCGUCUGGUUUUCAUGA
Molecule: long non-coding RNA, 1044 nt
Filed under: Sus scrofa (pig)
Lineage: Eukaryota; Metazoa; Chordata; Mammalia; Artiodactyla; Suidae
Description: lncRNA (ENSSSCG00070013887.1)
Source: RNAcentral